Molecule: ribosomal RNA, 510 nt
Filed under: uncultured bacterium
Lineage: Bacteria
Description: partial 16S ribosomal RNA
Rfam family: Bacterial small subunit ribosomal RNA
Source: RNAcentral
GACGAACGCUGGCGGCGUGCUUAACACAUGCAAGUCGAACGAAGAGCGAUGGAAGCUUGCUUCUAUCAAUCUUAGUGGCGAACGGGUGAGUAACGCGUAAUCAACCUGCCCUUCAGAGGGGGACAACAGUUGGAAACGACUGCUAAUACCGCAUACGAUCUAAUCUCGGCAUCGAGGAUAGAUGAAAGGUGGCCUCUACAUGUAAGCUAUCACUGAAGGAGGGGAUUGCGUCUGAUUAGCUAGUUGGAGGGGUAACGGCCCACCAAGGCGAUGAUCAGUAGCCGGUCUGAGAGGAUGAACGGCCACAUUGGGACUGAGACACGGCCCAGACUCCUACGGGAGGCAGCAGUGGGGAAUCUUCCGCAAGGGACGAAAGUCUGACGGAGCAACGCCGCGUGAGCGAUGACGGCCUUCGGGUUGUAAAGCUCGGUUAAUCGGGACGAAAGGCCUUCUUGCGAAUAGUGAGAAGGAUUGACGGUACCGGAAUAGAAAGCCACGGCUAACUACGUG